RNAcentral lists this ribosomal RNA (211 nucleotides) under Staphylococcus hominis. Its description in RNAcentral is "partial 23S ribosomal RNA". It matches the Rfam family "Bacterial large subunit ribosomal RNA", at positions 1360 to 1572 of the family's 2925-position model. Lineage: Bacteria; Bacillati; Bacillota; Bacilli; Caryophanales; Staphylococcaceae. The record is from RNAcentral.
CAACGUUAAUCGGCGCAGGGUGAGUCGGCCCCUAAGGCGAGGACGAAAGUCGUAGUCGAUGGGAAGCAGGUUAAUAUUCCUGCACCUCGCGUAAGUGCGAUGGAGGGACGGAGAAGGUUAGGUGUACCCGGCGUUGGUUGUCCGGGGGAAAGGCGGUAGGUUUGGAUCUUUGGCAAAUCCGGGAUCCUUCAAGACCGAGCACCGAGACGAG